Molecule: long non-coding RNA, 1595 nt
Organism: Tympanuchus pallidicinctus (lesser prairie-chicken)
Lineage: Eukaryota; Metazoa; Chordata; Aves; Galliformes; Phasianidae
Exons: 2
Source: RefSeq, a predicted model, not a curated record
UGGAAGCCUGAAGGAAAAAAUUGCUUUUGUAUUAGCAGCCAUAGUGCCACCUUUUAGAUGCAGAACACAUCACUAGCAAAACGUUUGGAUUACAAUGAACCAACAGUUCCCCGUUAGAGGCAUGCAAGCAAACAAGAGCAUUAACCAAUGCCAAAACAUUACAUAUGCUGGCCAUCAGCUGAUCCUGUUACAUUUAGCUGGUAGACUCAGCACCCUCUCUACCUGAUCUGCUUAGGAAAGGAAGAAAGCUUCGUGAACAUGAGGCGACAGCCAUGAUUAAAGAACAGAUGCAAGAAGAGAUACAGAGUUGCUGUCAGCCCCUGACCUACCUUGAACAGCAGGUUACUUUGCAUACAGCCAGGAAUACUAAUUCAUUCCUGCUUUUAUCUGUGCUUCAGUCAGGUAUUUUCACUGCAGGUGUCAGCUUGUGGAGGAAGCAACUCCAGAAUGACAAAGCUUGAAAAAUGAAGCUGACAACUGAAACCAGAGCCUUUGCUGAAGUUCUGAAGAGCCACACCAUGAAACAAGGAAAGCAGAAAGCAGCUGUUGGCAUUUCUACUUAAGAGGAAGCCCUUGAAGCCCUGACUCAAGAUCCAGUUGCAUCACCCUCAUCUGCAGAGGCUUCUCUGUCUCAGAGAAGUCACCCCAGGGGAAGGCAAAUCAACCUCUAGACGGGGUAAAUGUACUUGCUGUUCUCUGUUCUGAGCCUGCAUACUGAAAAGUUGUCUUCCAAGUAGUUUUUAUCCGCACCGAGUUCUUCAUUCUGCCCACCACCUGUAACAAGAGAUGACACCCCAAACAACCUCAUUUUAAGUAUCAUUCAACAACAAUCCCUUUGGCAAGAAGCACUGAGCACUGAGUUGCAGUUUCAGCUGCUACAAAUUUGAUUUCAGUACUCCAAACACUCUAGAAUAGAGCAGAUACUGCAGAGCAACAGCUGCAGACUGAGCCAGCCUACUUGCUUGCUGUUCUGAUGGAGAAGCAAUACACCACAGUGAAAGGUGAAGCUCACACUCAGCCCCACUGACCAGAGAAGGAGCAGCAGCUGCUAUCGCACACUUCACACAACAGAAGGCAGAGACAGCCAAAGACACGAGGGAACACCUCUGGGCUUAAGUGAUGUUAAAAGAGGAGCAGGAUAUUCUGUUAUCUGUGCCUCACGCCAUUCAGCAAACAUUCAGAUAUGGCGAUUACUUACCAAAAUAAUUGGAAGUGGCCACUCUGUCAGGGGAAGUUUGCAGCCAUGCAAUCCCAUACGUCAGAAGGUGUUGUUUCAGAUAUUUGCUCGAAUCAGAAGAAAACUGAAGGCCGGUUUUUAUUUACUCCAGACUCUUCUUUUGGUUUCUGCAAUCGUCCCUCAGUGAUUGGAAAGAUUGCUUUGAACAAUGUGAGGGCAGCUGUGGGACUUAUCUCAAAUACUUCCAAUUGUUUAUUUUUUUACAAGUUCUAUUUCUUGUCCAACAUUUUUUUUAGUGCUCUAGCACUCAGUAAGAGUUAUAGUGUUGAAAUAAAUCUGGAUUAAGCAAACAGCUCGAUUUGAAUAGUAAACACAGACACCCUUCCUGCUAGCUCAGCUCAAUGAUCAUAGUUUAAAU